AGCUUUGCACAGUGGCAGCAUCAUAGCCAAUGAGGUUUAUUCGAGGCGUGAUUAUUGCUAAUUAAAAACUUUUCUCGGGGGGUGGGAGUGAAUGGGUGACGGGCACUGGGUAUUAUUCUGUAUGUUAGUAAAUUGA
Molecule: small nuclear RNA, 136 nt
Filed under: Canis lupus familiaris (dog)
Lineage: Eukaryota; Metazoa; Chordata; Mammalia; Carnivora; Canidae
Description: U4 spliceosomal RNA (ENSCAFG00040006409.1, ENSCAFG00805024088.1)
Rfam family: U4 spliceosomal RNA (bases 1-78)
About the family: U4 small nuclear RNA (U4 snRNA) is a component of the major U2-dependent spliceosome. The structure of U4 snRNA from yeast and human has been reported.
Source: RNAcentral